RNAcentral lists this small RNA (98 nucleotides) under Phenylobacterium zucineum. RNAcentral describes it as "Manganese sequence". The stretch from base 6 to 85 matches the Rfam family "Manganese Mn2+ riboswitch aptamer (yybP-ykoY)". Rfam says of the family: This RNA was originally discovered in E. coli during a large scale screen and was named SraF. The family was later found to exist upstream of related families of protein genes in many bacteria, including the the yybP and ykoK genes in B. subtilis. Lineage: Bacteria; Pseudomonadati; Pseudomonadota; Alphaproteobacteria; Caulobacterales; Caulobacteraceae. The record is from RNAcentral.
UCUACGGGGAGUAGCCGUCCGCGCGACAGCGGAGCCCGCGUCAACAGACUUGGCCGAUCCGGCCAUGGCGCAGGCGGCGGACCUUCAGGGGUCCGGAU